UGGCGGCGGCGGCGACUGGAACGCACGGUUUCGGCCCCGGUAGCCCCUGCACAUUCCCUCGUGUUUGGGCCACAGCUCGCGGUAGUGUCCCCUUUCCCACGGGGCCCCGCCGCCCUGAGUUCAUCUUCGGGCGCUUGUCCGCGUCCUCGCCCCUCACCUGAGCCCGAACUUCGCGCGGCCGUCGCCUGACAGCCCUGGCGGGUGUGGAGACCCCUGCGUGGACCCGGGACCGCGGGCCUCGGCCGGGGCGGCGGGAGGGACGCCGGAAGUAGCGGGCAGUGCCGCAGCGCAGGUCACCAGCCGUGUGGUUUCCCUUCCACAGGAACCCUUCACACGGGGAACGCGUGUGCGUCUGUCCGCUCCUCCGGAAAUGGCCAAGUGAGAAGUGAAACAGAAAGAGAAAGACUAUCAAUCCUUUGAAGAAUUUAACAAGCUUCAGAAAAUUGAAGUGAAAGUGUGUGGCAGAAGCCUCUAGGAUAAGGGACAUGGGAAGCAGGGACAGUGUGGUAUGCUGGCGUGAUGUUAUCUCUCCUGGAACUUUGAUUUGCCUUGAGUCCUUACAGAACUUCUCGUGCGAGGAACUGAGGGUUUACAGAGACCUUGGAUACAAUUGAAGAUCCAUACAGGUAUAAAAUCACACUUACUGAUAUGAGGGAGAUGGACAAGCAAUACCUGCUACAACUCCCACAAACAUCCCUUUCAAAAGUUACUCAACAUCAUUCUUUGUUCUCUUAAAAUACAUUUUCUUGCCCUAUUCCCUUUAGUCUUGUGCAAG
Molecule: long non-coding RNA, 775 nt
Filed under: Castor canadensis (American beaver)
Lineage: Eukaryota; Metazoa; Chordata; Mammalia; Rodentia; Castoridae
Description: lncRNA (ENSCCNG00000018661.1)
Source: RNAcentral